GACGUAGGGGGCCAGCGUUGCUCGGAAUAACUGGGCGUAAAGGGUCCGUAGGCGGUGCGGCAAGUCGGAAGUGAAAUCUCUGGGCUUAACUCAGAGGCUGCUUCCGAAACUGCCGUGCUCGAGUGUGGGAGAGGCGAGUGGAAUUGCAGGUGUAGCGGUGAAAUGCGUAGAUAUCUGCAGGAACACCAGAGGCGAAGGCGGCUCGCUGGACCACAACUGACGCUGAGGGACGAAAGCUAGGGGAGCAAACAGG
Molecule: ribosomal RNA, 253 nt
Filed under: uncultured bacterium
Lineage: Bacteria
Description: partial 16S ribosomal RNA
Rfam family: Bacterial small subunit ribosomal RNA
Source: RNAcentral